CGGCUCAGAUUAGACCCCUAGCCUGGGAAUCUCCAUAUGCCGCAGGAAUGGCCCUAGAAAAGGCAAAAAGACACACACACACACACACACACAAUAAUAUAACACUUAAGUGAGUUGAAAAACCUGGAAUAAGAGGAGUUCCCCUUGCAGUUCAGUGGUAACGAAACUGACUAGGAUCCAUGAGGACGUGGGUUCCAUCCCUGGCUGCUCUCAGUGGGUUAAGGAUCCGGCGUUGCCAUGAGCUGCGGUGUAGGCCGGCUGCUGCAACUCUGAUUGACCCCUAGCCUGGGAGCUUCCAUAUGCUGCAGGUGUGACUCUAAACAAAAGAAAGAAAGAAAAACCUGGAAUCAGAGAAUUCAAAGUUGCAAAAUGUUCCAAUUAGGGGAUGGUGGCAUAAUGUAAAAGGAAUUAUUUCUUGUUUCCUAGAUCCAUCAGAGUUUUUCUCUCAAUAUCAAGCUUCCACAGACUCUCUGCUGCGGUGGAAAUAUUUGAAAACAAUCAAGUGGAACCCACUGGGGAUGCUGUGUCCUUUUGAAUGCAGUCCACAGCUUCUCCCUGGACAAGGACCACUAUGUUUAGAAUCAUGGAGACCCAGCUACAGUCAUGAGAUAAUCCUGCCUGAGCAGGAUAACCAGGAACUGUUGCAAAAUUAAGGCUAA
This 659-nucleotide long non-coding RNA is filed under the name Sus scrofa (pig). RNAcentral describes it as "lncRNA (ENSSSCG00060034934.1)". Lineage: Eukaryota; Metazoa; Chordata; Mammalia; Artiodactyla; Suidae. The record is from RNAcentral.